AUUGAACGCUGGCGGCAGGCUUAACACAUGCAAGUCGAGCGGGGUGAUGGUGCUUGCACUAUCACUUAGCGGCGGACGGGUGAGUAAUGCUUAGGAAUCUGCCUAUUAGUGGGGGACAACAUCUCGAAAGGGAUGCUAAUACCGCAUACGUCCUACGGGAGAAAGCAGGGGAUCACUUGUGACCUUGCGCUAAUAGAUGGGCCUAGGUGGGAUUAGCUAGUUGGUGGGGUAAAGGCCUACCAAGGCGACGAUCUGUAGCGGGUCUGAGAGGAUGAUCCGCCACACGGGGACUGAGACACGGCCCAGACUCCUACGGGAGGCAGCAGUGGGGAAUAUUGGACAAUGGGGGGAACCCUGAUCCAGCCAUGCCGCGUGUGUGAAGAAGGCCUUAUGGUUGUAAAGCACUUUAAGCGAGGAGGAGGCUCUUUUGGUUAAUCCCCAAGAUGAGUGGACGUUACUCGCAGAAUAAGCACCGGCUAACUCUGUGCCAGCAGCCGCAGUAA
RNAcentral lists this ribosomal RNA (503 nucleotides) under uncultured bacterium. RNAcentral's name for it is "partial 16S ribosomal RNA". It matches the Rfam family "Bacterial small subunit ribosomal RNA", at positions 30 to 523 of the family's 1533-position model. The record is from RNAcentral.